This 1185-nucleotide long non-coding RNA is filed under the name Chrysolophus pictus (golden pheasant). Its description in RNAcentral is "lncRNA (ENSCPIG00010013336.1)". Lineage: Eukaryota; Metazoa; Chordata; Aves; Galliformes; Phasianidae. The record is from RNAcentral.
GCAGCCGUGGCUGUCGGGGGGUGGGGGUGCGGGGAUGCCGAAAGUGGCAGUGGGGUCUCAUUCCAUAUCAGCCCCAUACCCACACCAUGCCUAUACCAUACUCAUCCCAAACCUAUACCAUUCCUACUCUAUACCUAUCUCAUUCCCAUCCCAUUCAUCACUGCAGCCGUGGCUGUCGGGGGGGGGGGGUGCGGGGAUGCCGAAAGUGGCAGUGGGGUCUCAUUCCAUAUCAGCCCCAUACCCACACCAUGCCUAUACCAUACUCAUCCCAAACCUAUACCAUUCCUACUCUAUACCUAUCUCAUUCCCAUCCCAUAGCCAUCCUAUACCCAUCCCAAAUCUAUACGAUACCCAUCCCAUACCCACACCACGUCUAUACCAUACCCAUCCCAAACCUAUACCAUACCCAUCCUAUACCUACCCUAUACCCAUACCGUACCCAUCCCACUAUUCUACCAUACCCGUACUAUUCCCACUACACUACCAUUCCAUACCUAUAUCAUACCUAUACCAUAGCCAUCCCAUAUCCAUCCCAUACCCAUAUCCAUCCCAUGCUUAUAUCAUACCUAUACCAUGCCUAUACCACAGCCAUCCCAUAGCCAUCCCAUCCCUAUACCAUACCCAUCCCUCAUCCUAUACCUAUACCAUACCCAUUCCAUCCCCAUUCUAUAUCCAUCCCAUACCCAUCCUAAACCCAUCCCAUACCUAUACCAUGCCUAUACCCAUACCAUACCCAUCUCAAACCUAUAGAAUACCCAUUCCAUACCUAUAUCAUACCUAUACCAUACCCAUCCUAUCUUCAUCCUAUAUCCAUCCCAUGUCCAUCCUAAAUCUAUACCAUACCCAUUCUAUACCCAUACCACAUCUAUACCAUACCCAUCCUAAACCCACACGCAUCCCAAUCUUAUAAUAUCCCAUAUCCAUCCCAUGCUUCUACCAUACCGAUACCAUGCCUAUACCAUAGCCGUCCCAUAGCCAUCCCAUCCCUAUACCAUACCCAUCCUAUACCCAUAUCGUACCCAUCCCAAACCUGUACCAUAGCCAUCCCAUCCCCAUCCAAUCCCAUAUCCAUCCCAUACCCAUACCAUAUCCAUCCCAAACCCGUAGCAUUCCCAUCGCACCCCCCUCCCACCUUCAUCUCACACCCCAACCUAUAGCACAGCCCCCCGUACACCCCCAUACCCC